RNAcentral lists this long non-coding RNA (346 nucleotides) under Chelonoidis abingdonii (Abingdon island giant tortoise). RNAcentral describes it as "lncRNA (ENSCABG00000012496.1)". Lineage: Eukaryota; Metazoa; Chordata; Testudines; Testudinidae. The record is from RNAcentral.
CGGAGCCCUGAGGCUGCGCGGAGCCGGGGUCGCUCUGGCGCUGCCGGUGCCCGACCGCGCGAGGGGCCGAGCAUGAGGCUCGCCCAGCGGCCGGGGCAGGACAGCGAGUCCCCCGUGCGUGGCAGAGGGUAAUUGUCCUCUGAAUUCCCAUGACAUACCGGCAGGAGGACUACAAAGAAUCUAUCAAAAUGAUGACAAAUAUUGUAAUUUUGAGCUUGCUUAUUUGUAUUUCAUUAUCUUUCUGGAUUGUGUCCAUGACAGCAAGUACAUACUAUGGUAUGCCCAGGUGGAGCUCCUCUCCUGUGUAUACUAUGGGAGGUCCACAGCAACAAGGCUCCCUUCCUGU